Molecule: transfer RNA, 70 nt
Filed under: Thyrsites atun (snoek)
Lineage: Eukaryota; Metazoa; Chordata; Actinopteri; Scombriformes; Gempylidae
Description: tRNA-Trp
Rfam family: tRNA
About the family: Transfer RNA (tRNA) molecules are approximately 80 nucleotides in length.
Source: RNAcentral
AGGGGUUUAGGAUAAAAAGUCCAAGAGCCUUCAAAGCCCUCAGCGAGAGUUAAAAAUCUCCCAACCCCUG